UUAGGGUMGUUGYCCUGCUGGAAGGUGAACCUCUGCCCCAGCCUCAAGUCUUUUGCAGACUCCAGGUUCCGGAGUGUUCAGGUUUUCUUCCAAGAUUACCCUGUAUUUGGCUCAAUCCAUCUUACAAUCAACUCUAACAAUCUUCCCUGUCCCUGAAGAAAAGAAGCACCCUCAGAGCAUGACGCUGCCACCACCAUGUUUGUCAGUGGGGAAGUUUGCAACCAGUCCUGGCACAAAAAGUGUUAUCUUAAAUAAAAUAAGGACAUCACUGAACUUCAAGUGGUCUGUCCAGAACAAAGUUCAAGUGAGGUGACAUCAUCAAAAGAGGAGUAUGUUCCUGAUUCCGUAGAUGAUUCAGACAUCUCAUGGGAUGACAGAUGCACUCCACAGAAAUAUGGACUAGUUAUAGUCCAUAUUUCCAUAUUUGGACUUCUUAAUGCACAUAAAUUGUAUAUUUUUUGUAUGUG
Molecule: long non-coding RNA, 467 nt
Organism: Poecilia reticulata (guppy)
Lineage: Eukaryota; Metazoa; Chordata; Actinopteri; Cyprinodontiformes; Poeciliidae
Source: RefSeq, a predicted model, not a curated record